Molecule: ribosomal RNA, 855 nt
Filed under: uncultured Bacillota bacterium
Lineage: Bacteria; Bacillati; Bacillota
Description: bacterial SSU rRNA
Rfam family: Bacterial small subunit ribosomal RNA
Source: RNAcentral
AAAGUCCCCUUCGGGGGGCAAGUAGAGUGGCGCACGGGUGAGUAACACGUAGGUAAUCUACCUUUGGAUUGGGAAUAACCACCGGAAACGGUGGCUAAUACCGAAUAAUGCAGCGGCACCUAAUGGUGACAGUUGUUAAAGCGGGGGAUCGCAAGACCUCGCGUCUGAAGAGGAGCCUGCGGCAGAUUAGCUAGUUGGUAAGGUAACGGCUUACCAAGGCGAUGAUCUGUAGCCGGCCUGAGAGGGCGGUCGGCCACACUGACACUGACAUACGGGUCAGACUCCUACGGGAGGCAGCAGUCGGGAAUUUUGGGCAAUGGGCGAAAGCCUGACCCAGCAACGCCGCGUGAAGGAUGAAAUCCUUCGGGAUGUAAACUUCGCAAGAACGGGAAGAAUAAGUAAGGGUUAAUAUCUCUUACGAUGACGGUACUGUUUGUAAGCUCCGGCUAACUCCGUGCCAGCAGCCGCGGUAAUACGGGGGGAGCAAGCGUUGUUCGGAUUUACUGGGCGUAAAGGGCGCGUAGGCGGCCACCGCAAGUCGACUGUGAAAUCUCCGGGCUUAACCCGGAAAGGUCAGCCGAUACUGCGGGGCUAGAGUGCAGAAGGGGCAACUGGAAUUCUCGGUGUAGCGGUGAAAUGCGUAGAUAUCGAGAGGAACACCUGCGGCGAAGGCGGGUUGCUGGGCUGACACUGACGCUGAUGCGCGAAAGCUAGGGGAGCGAACGGGAUUAGAUACCCCGGUAGUCCUAGCCUUAAACGAUGAAUGCUUGGUGUCUGGGGUUUUAUAGUCCCCGGGUGCCGUCGCUAACGCUUUAAGCAUUCCGCCUGGGGAGUACGGUCGCAAGACUGAAACUC